Molecule: small nucleolar RNA, 106 nt
Filed under: Lupinus albus (white lupine)
Lineage: Eukaryota; Viridiplantae; Streptophyta; Magnoliopsida; Fabales; Fabaceae
Description: Plant small nucleolar RNA R71
Rfam family: Plant small nucleolar RNA R71
About the family: R71 is a member of the C/D box family of snoRNAs containing the C (UGAUGA) and D (CUGA) box motifs. Multiple nearly identical copies of this snoRNA have been identified in Arabidopsis, and it is thought to function as a 2'-O-ribose methylation guide for 18S ribosomal RNA.
Source: Rfam by way of RNAcentral
AAACCAUGAUUGGGGCAUUUUCUCAAUAGCACCUGAAAAUGCUCCCAAGCUUUAUAAAAUGCUUCAUCUGCACCUUUCCGAAAAGUUGAUAUCUUAAACUUGGCAU